Molecule: ribosomal RNA, 497 nt
Filed under: uncultured bacterium
Lineage: Bacteria
Description: partial 16S ribosomal RNA
Rfam family: Bacterial small subunit ribosomal RNA
Source: RNAcentral
GAUGAACGCUGGCGGCGUGCCUAAUACAUGCAAGUCGAGCGAACGGACGAGAAGCUUGCUUCUCUGAUGUUAGCGGCGGACGGGUGAGUAACACGUGGAUAACCUACCUAUAAGACUGGGAUAACUUCGGGAAACCGUAGCUAAUACCGGAUAAUAUUUUGAACCGCAUGGUUCAAAAGUGAAAGACGGUCUUGCUGUCACUUAUAGAUGGAUCCGCGCUGCAUUAGCUAGUUGGUAAGGUAACGGCUUACCAAGGCAACGAUGCAUAGCCGACCUGAGAGGGUGAUCGGCCACACUGGAACUGAGACACGGUCCAGACUCCUACGGGAGGCAGCAGUAGGGAAUCUUCCGCAAUGGGCGAAAGCCUGACGGAGCAACGCCGCGUGAGUGAUGAAGGUCUUCGGAUCGUAAAACUCUGUUAUUAGGGAAGAACAUAUGUGUAAGUAACUGUGCACAUCUUGACGGUUCCUAAUCAGAAAGUCACGGCUAACUACGUG